GAGUUAUCAUGGAAAUACCACUCAGUUCGGGUAAUGUGAACACUCCA
This 47-nucleotide small RNA is filed under the name Archaeoglobus fulgidus. Lineage: Archaea; Methanobacteriati; Methanobacteriota; Archaeoglobi; Archaeoglobales; Archaeoglobaceae. The record is from RNAcentral.